Cololabis saira (Pacific saury) is the source of this 179-nucleotide long non-coding RNA. RefSeq lists it as uncharacterized. The record is from RefSeq and is a predicted model, not a curated record. Lineage: Eukaryota; Metazoa; Chordata; Actinopteri; Beloniformes; Belonidae. The transcript is spliced from 3 exons.
UCGGCCGUAACACAAACAUCCUCUGAACUGGACAAACACACAUACAGAUCAGACUACGCGGCAGCUGACGAGCAGUGUUUGAGGAGGUGUGUCCAGGAAACAGUGGCCGGCGCUCGCUUCCUGUGUGACAGUCUUGAGAAGCUGAGAAGAUAUGCGCAGAUGUGGCUGAGAGAGCAAGG